CAACUUCGGUUAUAAGAUCCCUCAAAGAUGAUGAGGUUAAUAGGUUCGAGGUGGAAGCAUAGCGAUAUGUGGAGCUGACGAAUACUAAUCGAUCGAAGACUUAAUCAAAUU
This 111-nucleotide ribosomal RNA is filed under the name Staphylococcus equorum. RNAcentral's name for it is "partial 23S ribosomal RNA". It matches the Rfam family "Bacterial large subunit ribosomal RNA", at positions 2815 to 2925 of the family's 2925-position model. The record is from RNAcentral. Lineage: Bacteria; Bacillati; Bacillota; Bacilli; Caryophanales; Staphylococcaceae.